This 426-nucleotide ribosomal RNA is filed under the name uncultured bacterium. RNAcentral describes it as "bacterial SSU rRNA". It matches the Rfam family "Bacterial small subunit ribosomal RNA", at positions 354 to 796 of the family's 1533-position model. The record is from RNAcentral.
GUGAGGAAUUUUCCGCAAUGGGCGAAAGCCUGACGGAGCAAUGCCGCGUGAAGGAUGAAGGCCUAUGGGUUGUAAACUUCUUUUCUCAGAAAAGAAUUAUGACGGUAUCUGAGGAAUAAGCAUCGGCUAACUCUGUGCCAGCAGCCGCGGUAAGACAGAGGAUGCAAGCGUUAUCCGGAAUGAUUGGGCGUAAAGCGUCUGUAGGUUGUUUAAAAAGUAUUCUGUCAAAGAUUAGGGCUUAACCCUAGAUAGGCAGAAUAAACUUUUAAGCUAGAGUUUGGUAGAGGCAGAGGGAAUUCCCGGUGGAGCGGUGAAAUGCGUAGAUAUCGGGAGGAACACCAAAGGCGAAGGCACUCUGCUGGGCCAAUACUAACACUGAGAGACGAAAGCGAGGGGAGCAAAUGGGAUUAGAAACCCUGGUAGUAC